RNAcentral lists this ribosomal RNA (439 nucleotides) under uncultured bacterium. RNAcentral's name for it is "partial 16S ribosomal RNA". It matches the Rfam family "Bacterial small subunit ribosomal RNA", at positions 339 to 795 of the family's 1533-position model. The record is from RNAcentral.
CUACGGGCGGCUCCAGUGGGGAAUCUUAGACAAUGGGGGAAACCCUGAUCUAGCCAUGCCGCGUGAGCGACGACGGCCCUAGGGUUGUAAAGCUCUUUCAGCAGGGAAGAUAAUGACGGUACCUGCAGAAGAAGUCCCGGCUAACUCCGUGCCAGCAGCCGCGGUAAUACGGAGGGGACUAGCGUUGUUCGGAAUUACUGGGCGUAAAGCGCGCGUAGGCGGAUUGUUAAGUCGGGGGUGAAAUCCCGGGGCUCAACCCCGGAACUGCCCUCGAUACUGGCAGUCUUGAGUUCGAGAGAGGUGAGUGGAAUUCCGAGUGUAGAGGUGAAAUUCGUAGAUAUUCGGAGGAACACCAGUGGCGAAGGCGGCUCACUGGCUCGAUACUGACGCUGAGGUGCGAAAGCGUGGGGAGCAAACAGGAUUAGAUACCCCAGUAGUC